RNAcentral lists this long non-coding RNA (4993 nucleotides) under Nicotiana tabacum (common tobacco). RNAcentral describes it as "long non-coding RNA (NTAB_LNC005315)". Lineage: Eukaryota; Viridiplantae; Streptophyta; Magnoliopsida; Solanales; Solanaceae. The record is from RNAcentral.
UUUUCCUCUUCUUUUGUUCUUUAAUAAGCCCUUCGUCUUCUUCUGUUCUUUAGUUUAAUAAGUUACGUCUUUUCCUUUAGAAAAAAAAUAACGCUAUUUCCUCUUCUUUCAGCCUAUUUUAUUUGAAUGGAACUACAAAAGGAAAGCUACGCCAAUUCUUACCACCAUUUUAUUGCAGAAAGGCCGCAAUAUGAAAGAGAGGGAUUGUGCUUUACCUUGUUUCUUGGCUGUCGAGGAAUAAAAAGUAUGGUAAAUCUCCAAAAUUAUGGAUUUUGUUUUAAGAUAUCUUAUAGUUAGAUUUUUUACGGUGAGUUUCAUGACUGCAAUCAAAGCGCGAUCAUAUUUUCUAGGUGGUAGUUCCAGCGAAUUUGAAACUUUGUUGUUGUCGACAAGAAAUUGCAUUUACGUAACAUUCUUAUACUGAGUUUUGGUUAUUUAUUUUCUCUUGCGGCUAAUAGAAAAAUUACAGUAAGUACAAACAAUUCCCAUUUUUCAUCUAUGCUAAUUGUUUGUUUGGUUUGAGAUGUAUAGUAUUGAAAUAGGCUAGAAAAAGUUCAUUAUUCCUCUUACACUCUAAUGCUAAACUAUCAACAAAAGAUUUGCUUAUAUGAAGGUCAACUUCAAUUUCUUCUCUCCAAAUUCAUCUCUAGGUAAUUUUGCCCUUUUCCUCAUUUUUCAAUUUGUGUGCUAAAAAUGCAUCGACAAUCAAUUUCUUUUAAUCUUUUUAAUUAAUCUCUCUGUUCCUUUUCAAGUGUUAUGCCUUUUAAUCUCCACAAUAGGUUUACCUAUAGUCAUUUUAAGAUUAGGAUUAUUCUUAUAGUGUGCCUUUUUUUUUUUUGGUGAUGUUACUUUGUACUUAUUGGACUGUAACUUUUUGUUAUUUUAAUUUUCUUUAUUUUUGUUUCAGAUCCAUGAGCUGAUAUUCAACUUGUUCAACUGGAAAAGACUAAUUUUAUUUCCAGGUUUAAAAUCAUUAUUUUGGUCAUUAGUGAGAGUAUGACUUUUUUUUAGGAAAUUUUUACCUUCCUAUACACUAUUUGAAACCUUAUUACCCUCCCAACUUAAGUUUCAAUUUAAUUACAUGGUCAUAUACAAUUUACCAAUUAUAUAAAAAUAAGUUUUAAAUGAGCAUCCCUUUAGAUCAAGAUUGAAUAAGGAAUAUUCGUUAUUUCCUUAUCCUUUUAUACUUGCUCACUCUCUCUCACCGUCAGUCUCUCUCAGUCUCUAUGUCUCUAUCUUUGUCUCUCUCUCUUUCUUGCAAAGCCUGAAGAUUCACUUCCCUUUAGUUGGUCACAUGUGUCUCUCUCUCUCUUGCAAUGCCCGAAGACUCAUAAGGAAUAUCAGUUUAUGAUUUGAAAAGAUGAAUGCUCAAGGAAGUUAAAAUUGCAAAGUUUGAAGAUUCACUUCGCUUUAGUUUGGCUAUAGCACAUGCGGAGACUUUAAUCUCUCCUAAUUCCCUGUAGGAUUAUAAAUUUUGAAUGUGUUUGACUCUCUACCAUUGACAGCCAUUAAAAAGCUUUGAAGCUUUGAAAUCGAAUUUGAGUUUUCACAAACCAUUAUUUGUUUGGAUUGGGUGUUGUUGCAAACAAUUGAGAAUAUUGUUUGGAGUUUAUAUCUCAAUUUUGAGGCUGUUUUGGUGAAGAUUAGACUUGAUUUUAGCUAAAUUUUAAAUUGAAACUCGAAGAAGAAUAAGAAGAACACAUGACAUACAAUAUACUUACGAAAUUGUAGUAAAAUUAUAUUAUAGUUAUGUAAAUUAUAUUAUGUUGUAGUUAUAUAUACAUUAUUGAGGUCAGUCUUUUUGGAUUACCUUUUUAUUUGAACGUUGUAUGAUAUUUGAAAAAUAGUUGUAUAAUGUAUGAAUUGUUGUCUAAAAUUUGUAUUUAAGUUAUCAAUACUAUCUUUUUACAUAAAAUUGCUGAUAUGUAUCAAAAUUGUAUUAAGAGAGUAACUUUUGAUUGGAAUUUUAGAGAGGAAGAAGCACACACCACUGAAAAAUAUAUACAAAUCAGAUACAAAAUAUAUAUAAUAGACAUAUUGUAUAAAAUUUAUUUAAAAAUUGUAUUUAAGUUAUAUGAUAUUGUAGUUGUAUUUAACUGGGUAGAAAUAAUGCAUGAAAGUUGUAUAUAAGUUGUAUAAUAUAUAAUUAGUUGCAUAAAAUUUAGUUUUACUAUGUAUAAAUCAGAUACAAAAUAUACAAAAGACAUAUUGUAUAAAAUUUAUAUAAAAAAUUGUUUUCAAGCUGUAUGAUAUUGUAGUUAUAUUUAUGUAACGACCCGACAGGUCAUUUUGAGCUAUAGUACUUCGUUCACCAGUUUGAGGCCUUGAGUAGAUUCUCUUAGGUAUUAUGACUUGUACGUGUGGUCGGAAUUGAAUUUUAGGAUGUUCGGAGUUGAUUUGGAAGAAAAUUCUAAUUUCGGAAACUUUAAGUUGGAAGAUUGGCUAAGAUUCAGCUUUUGAGUAAACGACCUCGGAAUCGGGAUUUGAAGGCUCCAAUAGGUUCGUAUGAUGAUUUUGGACUUGGGCGUAUGUUUGGGUUGAGUAUCGGAUCACCCGGGAGCAUUUCAGUGCUUAUCAUGGAAGGUUGGCAUUUUGAAGGCUUAAGAAUUUCCUAAGUUUGGUUUGAAGUAGGCUUUGAUGUUAUCGAUGUCUGUUUGGGAUUCCGAGCCUUAGAGUGGGUUUGUAUUGUGAUUCAUGACUUGUAUGCAAGGUUUGACAUCUUUCUAGAAUGUUUUGGUGUGGUUCGGAUGUGUUCGUUAAAGUUUAAAAAUUUGAAAGCUUAAAGAAGGAUUUCGUUCGUCGAUUCGUAGUUUUGAUAUUGUUUGGCGAGAUUUGAGGCCCCGACUAAGUUCGUAAUAUAUUUUGGGAUGCGUGGGUUUGUUUGGUUAAGGUCUCGGGGGCCUCGGGUGAGUUUCAGAUUGAAAUCGGAUAAAAAAUUUGACGUUGAGGAAUGCUAGUGUUGGCCAAUUGUUGGUGCAAUCGCACCUGUGUAUUGAGGGAAGGUGCGAGCCCGCAGGUGCGGCGUUGGGGCCGCAGAAGCGACAAUUGGACUGAGCUGGGGUGGCCACAUAUGCGAGGCUAUAUCCGCAUCUACGAGCCCAUAGAUGCGAAGGGUGCUGCAGAAAUGGAAAACGAGAGAGACAGUUGGGUCACAGAAGCGAAGGGAUAUCCGCACGUGCGGAAGCGCAUGAGUGGGGGACCGCAGAAGCGGUCGCGCAAGAGCGAAAAUAGGUCCGCAGAAGCGGAUUUUGCCUGGCUUGGAGGGAACCGCACUUGUGAUGGAUUCUUCCGCAGGUACGACUGGUGUUCCGCAGGUGCGGAAAGUCGUCUUGGCAGAGGUGUUAUUUUAAAAGCGGGAUUUGGCCCUUUUUCUUUCAUUUUUACUUGGUUGGGGCGAUUUUGGAGAGUUUCAAGGGGAGACUUUCAUCAAGCAACACAAAGUAAGUGAUUCUCACCUAUUACAAGUUAAAUACAUGGGUUGUAUAUGGAUUUAAGCAUGGAAAUUAGUAGAAACUUGGGAUUUUGGAAGAAAACCUAAAAAUUGAUAUUUUUGGAUUUUGACCACGAAAUUAGACAUGGAAUUAGGAAUAAAUCAUAUAUUUGAGUUCGUGGUGUUAUGGGUAAAGUUUAUCUUGGAACAUUUUCAGAAUCCGGGCACGUGGGCCCGAGAGUUGGCUUUAUCGACUUUUCGAGUGGGGUUAUGAAUUGUUUAAAUUGAUUAAUUAUGGGUAUUAGAAUAUAUUUUGAUUGGGUUACACACUGUUUGAAUAGUUUUGGAUCGACAUGAUUUGGUUCGAGGUGUUAGAGAGGCUUUGGAGCCGGUUAUGGAACUUCGGAACGAGGUAAAUCUCCUGUCUAACCUUGUGAGGGGAAAACUACCCUUAUGUCAUAUUUAUUAUUAUGUGCAACUAGUUGUGGGUGCUUCGUACGCACGAGGUGAUGAGAGUCUGUAUGAAGCUAAAGCAUGUUUUAUGUCCGGCUAGACUUAGGAUCUUAUUUUGUAAUAUUUGAAUUAUUUGAACUCAUGUUGCUGGCUUAAUUAAUUGAAGUUAUAGAUGAAAUUGAUUUAGAAAUAGAUAUAUGUAUACUAGGACAAGCCUUAACACUUUGAGUUGUGGGCGAGUUAUUUGAGAAACAGUAAAGAUUAUAUUCAUUUUGUACCCAUGUACGAUAUUGUAAACACAUGCCUCAUAAUUCGGUAACUUCAUUUCUUUUCUUGUGGAGCGGGCCGAAUGCCUCGGUAGUAUAUAGAUGCAUCUAUGGUUCGUGCCGCACGACCUUCGGUAGUGUAUACAUUAUUCCGGAUCGGGCCGAACGACCUCAGCAGAAUCGUGCAUUGUAUCGCUAGAAGUCUGAAUAUUCACGAGCUAAUCUUUCCACUGAUGCCCGACAUUUAUGGCAUUUCUUAUUUCCUUGAUGUUGACACUUGACAUUUACAGAGAUAUUAAGGUAGAAUACAAGAUUGAGAAAUUUAUGCUUUAAAGGAAAUAAUUUGAAAAUUAUGAGAUUACAGAUUUACUCCACUAUUACUGUGCACUUCAUAUCUGUCAUGAAUUAUCAUAUUAUUUACUUGGACCUUUAUUAAGUGUCGAUGUCAACCCCUCGUCCCUACUUCUCCGGGGUUAUGCUAGAUACUUACUGGGUAUGCGUUGAUUUACGUACUCAUAUUGCACUUCUACACUAAAUGUGCAGGAUCUGUCAGGUUCAUUUGAUGAUCAUCUUGGCGUGUAGGCGCACCUAUUGAGGAGACUUCAUGUGAGCUGCAUUCCAGACUACGUAUCGCAGUCCACUGGCUCCAUUAUACUAAUUAUUUUAUUUUGUCUUAUUACAUUCGGGACAACUAUUGUAUUAUUCUUGUACUCCUUAGAAAAAUGCUCAUACACUUGUAACACUGGGUUUUGGGGGUUUCUGCUGGUUGUUUGUUAUUGUAGUUGUGUAAAUAUUAUCACUUACUCUGUAAAAAAAUCUAUUUCAUACGAUUUAAUUAAGGAAA